AAUCAAGAACCAAACUAAAGAUGUUCAGGCUCACAUAAGAUGUUUUUUAUGAGAUUCUGGUAUGUGGUGGUUUGAAAAUGAAUAGUUUAGCUGACCACCUACUUGCCCCAAAGAUUGUCCUGUAUUGCAGUUGGAAUCCAAUCUCCAUGUAACCGAUACUAAUUCACUAAGCUGGGGAAUUGGUUAAGAGUAGACAUGGGAAUUAC
Molecule: non-coding RNA, 206 nt
Organism: Pelobates cultripes (western spadefoot toad)
Lineage: Eukaryota; Metazoa; Chordata; Amphibia; Anura; Pelobatidae
Source: the annotation of a GenBank genome assembly